ACAGCUCCCCAGCUGUAUGUGGCUGUGUGAAGCAACACUCUUGAGAGGAAGAUCAGAAUAAAGAUGAAAGUCAAGGUCUGUUCUCCAUGCCUAGCCUGAUGCAACACCCCACGCACUGGUUGAGAAAGUUUCUCUCCAUCGAAUUCCAUGCAGUUGUUCUGGAAAGGAAUGGCAAAGCUGUGCAAGGCUUCACAAUGAAAAAAACCCCUCUUCCUGUAAAGGCAGGACCCUGCCAAAAUAAAUAGGGACUGCAGCAAACGGUACAGAUGGUCAUUUCUUUUAAGCACGUGUAUAGGAUCUCAGUGUAUAUAACAUUGCUGUUAAAGCUAAGAAGAGUCAACAGAUGCCACUACCCAAAGGAGAGGGGAGAAAGAAAUGAACAAGAAAUGCAGACAUACAGUUUUUGUGUCAAAUAAAGAAGCCAUGCCCAGGUAACCGUGUCAGGCAUGGUGCAAUUGUAAAGGUAAGCAUUAAACAGAAGAGCUUUAAUGUAAGGAUGGUAACUUUUCACAGGAAUAUGUGACUAUGUCAGGGUGUA
Long non-coding RNA from Neopsephotus bourkii (Bourke's parrot), 538 nucleotides. RefSeq lists it as uncharacterized. The record is from RefSeq and is a predicted model, not a curated record. The transcript has 3 exons. NCBI's taxonomy places the organism in Eukaryota, Metazoa, Chordata, Aves, Psittaciformes, Psittacidae.